RNAcentral lists this transfer RNA (16 nucleotides) under Acheilognathus typus (zenitanago). RNAcentral describes it as "partial tRNA-Pro". The record is from RNAcentral. Lineage: Eukaryota; Metazoa; Chordata; Actinopteri; Cypriniformes; Acheilognathidae.
AUUAAACCAUUUUCUG